GCUGGGUGUGGUGACGCACGCCUGUAGUUCUAGCUACUUGUGGGCCUGAGGCAGGAGGAUCACUUGAGCCUGGGAGAUUGAGGCUGCAGUCAGCCAUAUUUGUGCCACUGCACUCCAGCCUGGGCUACAGAGUAAGACCCUGCCUCAA
Unclassified non-coding RNA from Macaca fascicularis (crab-eating macaque), 148 nucleotides. It matches the Rfam family "Metazoan signal recognition particle RNA". From Rfam's summary of the family: The signal recognition particle (SRP) is a universally conserved ribonucleoprotein. It is involved in the co-translational targeting of proteins to membranes. The eukaryotic SRP consists of a 300-nucleotide 7S RNA and six proteins: SRPs 72, 68, 54, 19, 14, and 9. The record is from Ensembl. NCBI's taxonomy places the organism in Eukaryota, Metazoa, Chordata, Mammalia, Primates, Cercopithecidae.